Molecule: ribosomal RNA, 438 nt
Filed under: uncultured bacterium
Lineage: Bacteria
Description: bacterial SSU rRNA
Rfam family: Bacterial small subunit ribosomal RNA
Source: RNAcentral
CGAACGCUGGCGGCAUGCCUAACACAUGCAAGUCGAACGAACCCUUCGGGGUUAGUGGCGCACGGGUGCGUAACACGUGGGAAUCUGCCCUUUGCUUCGGAAUAACAGUUAGAAACGACUGCUAAUACCGGAUGAUGUCGAAAGACCAAAGAUUUAUCGGCAAAGGAUGAGCCCGCGUAGGAUUAGGUAGUUGGUGGGGUAAAGGCCUACCAAGCCGACGAUCCUUAGCUGGUCUGAGAGGAUGAUCAGCCACACUGGGACUGAGACACGGCCCAGACUCCUACGGGAGGUAGCAGUGGGGAAUAUUGGACAAUGGGCGAAAGCCUGAUCCAGCAAUGCCGCGUGAGUGAUGAAGGCCUUAGGGUUGUAAAGCUCUUUUACCAGGGAUGAUAAUGACAGUACCUGGAGAAUAAGCUCCGGCUAACUCCGUGCCAGAAG